AACCAUUUCCAGAUGUUUCAUGAAGACAACUUGGACCAAAUUAUCUGGCUUUGCUAAAUAAUUUCACUAAUAUGGUUCCCAGUAAUGGGAUGUAUUAUACUGAAGACGAUUACACUGAAAUUCAAUUUAAUGGUAAUGAUGAAGAAUACGCCUUCUAUGUUGUCGUUACAAACUGUAAAUUUGAUUCAAACUUUCUAAAACAAUUUUGCUUGUCAACAUUUGAAAAUGGUAUUGGCCUUAUCAAAUUCUUUUUUCCAGCCAAAGGGGAAUAUAGUAUCAAUAUCUUUUCAGAUAAAAGAAAAAUACAAUUUCCAUGCAAUUGUACAUGUGUUGCCAAAGAAAAAAACCAAAGAAAAUUAGCUAUCCUUCUGUAUGUUCAUAUAUUGUUGUUAGUACUCAACAACCAAAACAAACACCAACAAUAUUUCCUGAAAAUGAUGUAUAUACAAUUGGUAAACAAAAUCAUUUUUUAAAAAUGGGAUUAAGAGUUGAAGAUAAUUUUCAUUCAUUUCAAAAAUGUAGAAAAUCAAUUCAAUUUCAAUUUUUCAAAACUAAACCAUGCCAAUUCAAUAUUGAAUUAUUUUCAUUUAAUGAUCACGAAAUGAAAAUUGAUAGAAGCCUUUAUUCAUUUAUUCAAAAUUCUAUUUCAUCUGUUCAGUUUUUUUUGAAUUUUCCAUCUAGAGAAAUGUACAAAUGUCUCAUUUAUGGAAAAGAAUUAAAUUCUAAAAAGAAUAGCAAACUGCUCUAUAUUUGCUAUUUUGAUGUUAUUGAAGAGUUUUCAGAUGCUUUUCAAUUUCCACAAACAACUGAUCAAUGGAGAAAUAGUGAAAUAAAUUGCAUCAUUCAACCAAAAUGGACAAUUCAUUGUACAACAACUGCAAAAUUCCAAAUUCAAGGAGUUCAAUGCUGGGAAAUGAUUGCUUAUCUUUCCACCAACAAAAACCAUGUAUUAACAUUUAGCUGUGACAAUGAUAUUUGGUCAUGUGAUGUGGAUAUUGGUGAAAAAUUGGGAUAUUUAAUAAUAGGGAUAAUAUUAAAAAAAAAUCAAAGACCUUUAUUGAAAUUUUAAGAUAUAAUAUCUAUGAGAUGAUUGCAGCAGAGUCUGAAAUCAAAAGUGAAGAAGAGGAAGAAGAGGAAGAGGAGGAAGAGAAGGAAGAAGAAAAUGAAGAGGUUGUUGAGACUGAGAAAAUUUCAAAUGACAUUGUACCAAUGGAAGAAAUUGAUUUUCUAAACUAAAUGGAAAAAAUUGUCUAUAUAAGUCCAUUCAUUGAUGAGGAAGGUAAAGAAGAGGAAGAUGAAGAGGACACUAAAAAUGAAAUAGUUGAAACAAGUACUCAUUCUUUACAAGAACAAACAGCUGAUGAUGUUACUGAUGAUGAACCAAUUGAAGUAGAAGACCCUGAUAAGUUGAAUGAAAUAAAGAAAAAAUUGGCAGAAGCAGUUGACGAUAUAGAUUAUGACGCAUUGAAAUCAAUUUUAAAGAUAGCAUCAAUUAAACCAAUUUGCUAUUCAUUAAAGAAUGAACUAGCAGAGGCAAACAAAUUGAUGGACAACUUAAAAUCAAUCAAAAGUUUACAGUAUAGAAUUCUUAAACUGGAUCAGAGAUGUAUUGCUGAACUACACAAUUACAGUACUCCACCGACAAUUGUGCAUACUGUUAUGAAAUCAGUACUACUCAUCUUAUCAGUUCCAGAAUCGGAAUCUGAACAUUGGAAUGAAUGUCAAAAAUAUAUUAAAUUUGUUUCAUCAAAAUCUAUAUUAAAGAAGAUAGAUAAGUUGGAAAUAUUAAAAUUGCACCCUAGUAUUGUACUCAGGGCUAAUAACAUAAUAUCUUCUAUAAAUUUACAACAAGUAAAAGAAGCUAGUGCAGGUGCAGCUGCAUUCUUUCUUUGGAUUAGUCACAGUAUAUCAGUCUAUACAAAUGUUCAUAAAGCAAGGAUGUCAAAAUUUCAACCAGCUGGCAUUGCAUUGCAAAAGCAGAUAUUUGGGAUAAAAUAGGCCUACAAAUACACUGUGAUGUUUUGAUUUUGAUCAAUUGAUGAAUAAGUUGAUGAUGAGAAGGAUAGGGAAUUUUUAAGAAAUAUAGAAAAUAUUGAAAUGAUAAUAAAUUAUAGGCCUAAUCUAAUCUUUUUCACCUUAGUAAAACAUAUCAACAUGUUUUAAAUAUUAUUUUUCUUCAUUAAAUCAUAACAACUAAAACAAUAAAAUUUAUAUAAAUUAUACUUUGUUGUAUUAUAAAUGAAGGAAUUUCUGCCAUAUCACAACUGCAUUCGUCUUUUCAAUCCCCUUCAGUCAAUUGGUAAUCCAAUUUAUGGAAAAAAUUUCAAAACUAAUAAUAUAAAUAAUUUAUAUCUAACUGAGUAGUAGAAAAUAUAUAGAUAGUCUGUUCAGGUUUUCCAGUUAGAUCAUAACAAAUAUAUAUAAACAAAAGCUACAUGUAAUCAAGAGUGCUAUAAUACAAUUGUUUGAUCUUGUCUUUCACUUGUGGAUAAAGGGGCAUAUGAACCAGAUGCAGAAAGUUCUUGUUCACGUUGUCGAGUUGCUGAGGAAACUCUACAAAAAAAAUAUCAAAUUGAGUUAAGAGAAAAGAAAGAAAAGAAUUUUAAUUAAACAAUGAAAGUGUAUGAAGUUUUAAAAGAAAAAUAAACUUUAUUUUACAUUCACCAAUUAAUAUUGUUGUUCAUCUCCAGCAUAGAUGUUUGGCUUUUACUUGAAAAUGUAUUUGAAAGGCAUUAUUUGAUUUUUUGAUCAUAAUAAAUAAAUAUACGCUAUUCCUGUUCAAAUUGUGAUGACUAUUGAACUGUGCAUUACUCACACAUGGCGUUUUCAACAACCCACUUGGCUGAUAAAUGUUGAUGAUAUUUUAAAACCAUUUAAAAUAUCCAAAUAUCUAGGUGUAAAAUAGCUUUUGAUUUAUAGUUAGCUGGGUUCCAUCUAAGGGUUAGGGCUAGUCAACAAAGUUAAGGAGUGACAAGGGCUAGUUUAGGGUUAUUUAUAAAUUUAAUAGUUAUAUUCAAAACUUACUUUAC
RNAcentral lists this unclassified non-coding RNA (3029 nucleotides) under Dimorphilus gyrociliatus. RNAcentral's name for it is "dgyrCDS14529". Lineage: Eukaryota; Metazoa; Annelida; Polychaeta; Dinophilidae. The record is from RNAcentral.